CAGAGGGUGCAAGCGUUAAUCGGAAUUACUAAGCGUAAAGCGAGCGUAGUCGGUUAUUUAAGUCGGGUGUGAAAGCCCCGGGCUCAACCUGGGAAUUGCAUUCGAUACUGGAUAGCUAGAGUUCGGCAGAGGGAAGCGGAAUUUCCGGUGUAGCGGUGAAAUGCGUAGAUAUCGGAAGGAACAUCAGUGGCGAAAGCGGCUUCCUGGACCAGAACUGACGAUCAGGCUCGAAAGCGUGGGGAGCAAACAGGAUUAGAUACCCUGGUAGUCCACGCCAUAAACGAUGACAACUAGACAUUAAGAGGGUAAGCCUCACAGUGUCGCAGCUAACGCGUUAAGUUGUCCACCUGGGGAGUACGGCCGCAAGGUUG
This 371-nucleotide ribosomal RNA is filed under the name uncultured organism. RNAcentral describes it as "bacterial SSU rRNA". It matches the Rfam family "Bacterial small subunit ribosomal RNA", at positions 526 to 896 of the family's 1533-position model. The record is from RNAcentral.